GAGUUUGAUCCUGGCUCAGGAUGAACGCUAGCUACAGGCUUAACACAUGCAAGUCGAACGAGCGAGAGAGAGCUUGCUUUCUCGAGCGAGUGGCGAACGGGUGAGUAACGCGUGAGGAACCUGCCUCAAAGAGGGGGACAACAGUUGGAAACGACUGCUAAUACCGCAUAAGCCCACAGCUCGGCAUCGAGCAGAGGGAAAAGGAGCAAUCCGCUUUGAGAUGGCCUCGCGUCCGAUUAGCUAGUUGGUGAGGUAACGGCCCACCAAGGCAACGAUCGGUAGCCGGACUGAGAGGUUGAACGGCCACAUUGGGACUGAGACACGGCCCAGACUCCUACGGGAGGCAGCAGUGGGGAAUAUUGCACAAUGGGGGAAACCCUGAUGCAGCGACGCCGCGUGGAGGAAGAAGGUCUUCGGAUUGUAAACUCCUGUUGUUGAGGAAGAUAAUGACGGUACUCAACAAGGAAGUGACGGCUAACUACGUGCCAGCCG
RNAcentral lists this ribosomal RNA (492 nucleotides) under uncultured bacterium. Its description in RNAcentral is "bacterial SSU rRNA". It matches the Rfam family "Bacterial small subunit ribosomal RNA", at positions 9 to 514 of the family's 1533-position model. The record is from RNAcentral.